Molecule: ribosomal RNA, 497 nt
Filed under: uncultured bacterium
Lineage: Bacteria
Description: partial 16S ribosomal RNA
Rfam family: Bacterial small subunit ribosomal RNA
Source: RNAcentral
GAUGAACGCUGGCGGCGUGCCUAAUACAUGCAAGCCGAGCGAACAGACGAGGAGCUUGCUCCUCUGACGUUAGCGGCGGACGGGUGAGUAACACGUGGAUAACCUACCUAUAAGACUGGGAUAACUUCGGGAAACCGGAGCUAAUACCGGAUAACAUGUUGAACCGCAUGGUUCAACAGUGAAAGACGGUUUUGCUGUCACUUAUAGAUGGAUCCGCGUCGCAUUAGCUAGUUGGUAAGGUAACGGCUUACCAAGGCAACGAUGCGUAGCCGACCUGAGAGGGUGAUCGGCCACACUGGAACUGAGACACGGUCCAGACUCCUACGGGGGGCAGCAGUAGGGAAUCUUCCGCAAUGGGCGAAAGCCUGACGGAGCAACGCCGCGUGAGUGAAGAAGGUCUUCGGAUCGUAAAACUCUGUUAUUAGGGAAGAACAAAUGUGUAAGUAACUAUGCACGUCUUGACGGUACCUAAUCAGAAAGCCACGGCUAACUACGUG